UGAGGAAUAUUGGUCAAUGGGCGAGAGCCUGAACCAGCCAAGUAGCGUGCAGGAUGACGGCCCUAUGGGUUGUAAACUGCUUUUAUAUGGGAAUAAAGUGAGGGACGUGUCCCUUAUUGCAUGUACCAUACGAAUAAGGACCGGCUAAUUCCGUGCCAGCAGCCGCGGUAAUACGGAAGGUCCAGGCGUUAUCCGGUUUUAUUGGGUUUAAAGGGAGCGUAGGCUGUUUGUUAAGCGUGUUGUGAAAUGUAAGAGCUCAACUUUUAGAUUGCAGCGCGAACUGGCAGACUUGAGUGCGCACAACGUAGGCGGAAUUCAUGGUGUAGCGGUGAAAUGCUUAGAUAUCAUGACGAACUCCGAUUGCGAAGGCAGCUUACGGGAGCGCAACUGACGCUAAAGCUCGAAGGUGCGGGUAUCGAACAGG
RNAcentral lists this ribosomal RNA (424 nucleotides) under Verrucomicrobiota bacterium. Its description in RNAcentral is "Verrucomicrobia bacterium partial 16S ribosomal RNA". It matches the Rfam family "Bacterial small subunit ribosomal RNA", at positions 355 to 776 of the family's 1533-position model. Lineage: Bacteria; Pseudomonadati; Verrucomicrobiota. The record is from RNAcentral.